This 1016-nucleotide ribosomal RNA is filed under the name uncultured bacterium. RNAcentral describes it as "bacterial SSU rRNA". It matches the Rfam family "Bacterial small subunit ribosomal RNA", at positions 357 to 1376 of the family's 1533-position model. The record is from RNAcentral.
AGGAAUAUUGGUCAAUGGGCGAGAGCCUGAACCAGCCAAGUAGCGUGAAGGAUGACUGCCCUAUGGGUUGUAAACUUCUUUUAUAAAGGAAUAAAGUCGGGUAUGGAUACCCGUUUGCAUGUACUUUAUGAAUAAGGAUCGGCUAACUCCGUGCCAGCAGCCGCGGUAAUACGGAGGAUCCGAGCGUUAUCCGGAUUUAUUGGGUUUAAAGGGAGCGUAGAUGGAUGUUUAAGUCAGUUGUGAAAGUUUGCGGCUCAACCGUAAAAUUGCAGUUGAUACUGGAUAUCUUGAGUGCAGUUGAGGCAGGCGGAAUUCGUGGUGUAGCGGUGAAAUGCUUAGAUAUCACGAAGAACUCCGAUUGCGAAGGCAGCCUGCUAAGCUGCAACUGACAUUGAGGCUCGAAAGUGUGGGUAUCAAACAGGAUUAGAUACCCUGGUAGUCCACACGGUAAACGAUGAAUACUCGCUGUUUGCGAUAUACAGCAAGCGGCCAAGCGAAAGCGUUAAGUAUUCCACCUGGGGAGUACGCCAGCAACGGUGAAACUCAAAGGAAUUGACGGGGGCCCGCACAAGCGGAGGAACAUGUGGUUUAAUUCGAUGAUACGCGAGGAACCUUACCCGGGCUUAAAUUGCAGAUGAAUUACGGUGAAAGCCGUAAGCCGCAAGGCAUCUGUGAAGGUGCUGCAUGGUUGUCGUCAGCUCGUGCCGUGAGGUGUCGGCUUAAGUGCCAUAACGAGCGCAACCCUUGUUGUCAGUUACUAACAGGUUUCGCUGAGGACUCUGACAAGACUGCCAUCGUAAGAUGUGAGGAAGGUGGGGAUGACGUCAAAUCAGCACGGCCCUUACGUCCGGGGCUACACACGUGUUACAAUGGGGGGUACAGAGGGCCGCUACCACGCGAGUGGAUGCCAAUCCCAAAAACCUCUCUCAGUUCGGACUGGAGUCUGCAACCCGACUCCACGAAGCUGGAUUCGCUAGUAAUCGCGCAUCAGCCACGGCGCGGUGAAUACGUUCCCG